Molecule: ribosomal RNA, 856 nt
Filed under: Salmonella enterica subsp. enterica serovar Havana
Lineage: Bacteria; Pseudomonadati; Pseudomonadota; Gammaproteobacteria; Enterobacterales; Enterobacteriaceae
Description: partial 23S ribosomal RNA
Rfam family: Bacterial large subunit ribosomal RNA
Source: RNAcentral
GGGUUGUGAGGUUAAGCGACUAAGCGUACACGGUGGAUGCCCUGGCAGUCAGAGGCGAUGAAGGACGUGCUAAUCUGCGAUAAGCGCCGGUAAGGUGAUAUGAACCGUUAUAACCGGCGAUUUCCGAAUGGGGAAACCCAGUGUGAUUCGUCACACUAUCAUUAACUGAAUCCAUAGGUUAAUGAGGCGAACCGGGGGAACUGAAACAUCUAAGUACCCCGAGGAAAAGAAAUCAACCGAGAUUCCCCCAGUAGCGGCGAGCGAACGGGGAGGAGCCCAGAGCCUGAAUCAGCAUGUAUGUUAGUGGAAGCGUCUGGAAAGGCGCGCGAUACAGGGUGACAGCCCCGUACACAAAAGCGCAUGUGCUGUGAGCUCGAUGAGUAGGGCGGGACACGUGGUAUCCUGUCUGAAUAUGGGGGGACCAUCCUCCAAGGCUAAAUACUCCUGACUGACCGAUAGUGAACCAGUACCGUGAGGGAAAGGCGAAAAGAACCCCGGCGAGGGGAGUGAAAAAGAACCUGAAACCGUGUACGUACAAGCAGUGGGAGCACAGGUUUACCUGUGUGACUGCGUACCUUUUGUAUAAUGGGUCAGCGACUUAUAUUCUGUAGCAAGGUUAACCGCAUAGGGGAGCCGGAGGGAAACCGAGUCUUAAUUGGGCGUUAAGUUGCAGGGUAUAGACCCGAAACCCGGUGAUCUAGCCAUGGGCAGGUUGAAGGUUGGGUAACACUAACUGGAGGACCGAACCGACUAAUGUUGAAAAAUUAGCGGAUGACCUGUGGCUGGGGGUGAAAGGCCAAUCAAACCGGGAGAUAGCUGGUUCUCCCCGAAAGCUAUUUAGGUAGCGCCUCGUGAA